This 406-nucleotide ribosomal RNA is filed under the name uncultured bacterium. Its description in RNAcentral is "bacterial SSU rRNA". It matches the Rfam family "Bacterial small subunit ribosomal RNA", at positions 359 to 777 of the family's 1533-position model. The record is from RNAcentral.
GAAUAUUGGACAAUGGGCGAAAGCCUGAUCCAGCAACGCCGCGUGAGGGAUGACGGCCUUCGGGUUGUAAACCUCUUUCAGCGGGGACGAAGCGAAAGUGACGGUACCCGUAGAAGAAGGACCGGCCAACUACGUGCCAGCAGCCGCGGUACUACGUAGGGUCCGAGCGUUGUCCAGAAUUAUUGGGCGUAAGGGGCUCGUAGGCGGUUUGUCGCGUCGGGAGUGAAAACACGGGGCUUAACCCCGUGCCUGCUUCCGAUACGGGCAGACUAGAGGUAUGCAGGGGAGAACGGAAUUCCUGGUGUAGCGGUGAAAUGCGCAGAUAUCAGGAGGAACACCGGUGGCGAAGGCGGUUCUCUGGGCAUUACCUGACGCUGAGGAGCGAAAGUGUGGGGAGCGAACAGGA